RNAcentral lists this ribosomal RNA (433 nucleotides) under uncultured bacterium. RNAcentral's name for it is "partial 16S ribosomal RNA". It matches the Rfam family "Bacterial small subunit ribosomal RNA", at positions 28 to 507 of the family's 1533-position model. The record is from RNAcentral.
GACGAACGCUGGCGGCAUGCCUAACACAUGCAAGUCGAACGAGACCUUCGGGUCUAGUGGCGCACGGGUGCGUAACGCGUGGGAAUCUGCCCUUCGGUUGGGAAUAACUGAGAGAAAUUUCAGCUAAUACCUUAUAAUGUCUUCGGACCAAAGAUUUAUCGCCGAGGGAUGAGCCCGCGUAGGAUUAGGUAGUUGGUGGGGUAAUGGCCUACCAAGCCGACGAUCCUUAGCUGGUCUGAGAGGAUGAUCAGCCACACUGGGACUGAGACACGGCCCAGACUCCUACGGGGGGCAGCAGUGGGGAAUAUUGGACAAUGGGCGAAAGCCUGAUCCAGCAAUGCCGCGUGAGUGAUGAAGGCCUUAGGGUUGUAAAGCUCUUUUACCCGGGAUGAUAAUGACAGUACCGGGAGAAUAAGCUCCGGCUAACUCCGUG